UGGAGACUCCAUGUGUAAGCAGCUGCUGCAAUCAGCAUUAACUCCGGGCUCGCAGGGUACUUUUUAACAAGGCACAUUUCAGAAGACCUUACUCAGAAAAUAAGGGUGUGCAUCUGGCACUGAAACUCACCAAAUCCUAUGCUGUACUUACCAUGGCUGUUAGCAGAUUAAAUCAUAAAUAUACAAGAACUAUUAUAGGUGACAAAGAUGUGCAGAGGAUCGCUAUAGAAAAGCUUUAAAGUUCAUCACAUUUUCAGAGGCUGAGCAAGCUUUACCUGAAGUUCGGACAACAAAUCUUUUCAUGAUUUUUUAAUGUAUUUUUUUAUGCCAAUAUUCUCUUUGCUAAGAAUUAUCACCAAAAAAAAAAAAAUUUAAAAGAGGUACUUGAAGAUUCUUCCAUUGAUCCUGCAUGUUUGCUCUUGUCCUAAAGCUGCCCCACUUCAUUUGAUAAGGGAUAAAUAAAUGCCUGGCUUCAUUUGAAUAAAUGAGUUGA
RNAcentral lists this long non-coding RNA (493 nucleotides) under Phasianus colchicus (ring-necked pheasant). RNAcentral's name for it is "lncRNA (ENSPCLG00000020708.1)". Lineage: Eukaryota; Metazoa; Chordata; Aves; Galliformes; Phasianidae. The record is from RNAcentral.